Molecule: ribosomal RNA, 486 nt
Filed under: uncultured Salegentibacter sp.
Lineage: Bacteria; Pseudomonadati; Bacteroidota; Flavobacteriia; Flavobacteriales; Flavobacteriaceae
Description: bacterial SSU rRNA
Rfam family: Bacterial small subunit ribosomal RNA
Source: RNAcentral
GAUGAACGCUAGCGGCAGGCCUAACACAUGCAAGUCGAGGGGUAACAUAGGAAAGCUUGCUUUUCUGAUGACGACCGGCGCACGGGUGCGUAACGCGUAUACAACCUACCUUUUAGCGGGGAAUAGCCCAGGGAAACUUGGAUUAAUGCCCCAUAGUAUGGAGAUCUCUCCUGAGAUUUUCAUUAAACAUUUAUGGCUAUUAGAUGGGUAUGCGUCCUAUUAGUUAGUUGGUAAGGUAACGGCUUACCAAGGCAGCGAUAGGUAGGGGUCCUGAGAGGGAGAUCCCCCACACUGGUACUGAGACACGGACCAGACUCCUACGGGAGGCAGCAGUGAGGAAUAUUGGACAAUGGGCGAGAGCCUGAUCCAGCCAUGCCGCGUGCAGGAAGACUGCCCUAUGGGUUGUAAACUGCUUUUACAGAGGAAGAACCACCCCCACGUGUGGGGGUUUGACGGUACUCUGCGAAUAAGGAUCGGCUAACUCCG